GAUGAACGCUGGCGGCGUGCCUAAUACAUGCAAGUCGAGCGAACAGAUGAGGAGCUUGCUCCUCUGACGUUAGCGGCGGACGGGUGAGUAACACGUGGAUAACCUACCUAUAAGACUGGGAUAACUUCGGGAAACCGGAGCUAAUACCGGAUAAUAUAUUGAACCGCAUGGUUCAAUAGUGAAAGACGGUUUUGCUGUCACUUAUAGAUGGAUCCGCGCCGCAUUAGCUAGUUGGUAAGGUAACGGCUUACCAAGGCAACGAUGCGUAGCCGACCUGAGAGGGUGAUCGGCCACACUGGAACUGAGACACGGUCCAGACUCCUACUGGAGGCAGCAGUAGGGAAUCUUCCGCAAUGGGCGAAAGCCUGACGGAGCAACGCCGCGUGAGUGAUGAAGGUCUUCGGAUCGUAAAACUCUGUUAUUAGGGAAGAACAAAUGUGUAAGUAACUAUGCACGUCUUGACGGUACCUAAGCAGAAAGCCACGGCUAACUACGUG
RNAcentral lists this ribosomal RNA (497 nucleotides) under uncultured bacterium. RNAcentral's name for it is "partial 16S ribosomal RNA". It matches the Rfam family "Bacterial small subunit ribosomal RNA", at positions 28 to 507 of the family's 1533-position model. The record is from RNAcentral.